RNAcentral lists this ribosomal RNA (176 nucleotides) under Trichoderma sp. RNAcentral describes it as "partial large subunit ribosomal RNA". Lineage: Eukaryota; Fungi; Ascomycota; Sordariomycetes; Hypocreales; Hypocreaceae. The record is from RNAcentral.
UCCGGGGUUCUCCCCGGUGCACUUCGCCGUGUCCAGGCCAGCAUCAGUUCGUCGCGGGGGAAAGAGGCUUCGGGAACGUGGCUCCCCUGGGAGUGUUAUAGCCCGUUGCAUAAUACCCUGCGGUGGACUGAGGACCGCGCAUCUGCAAGGAUGCUGGCGUAAUGGUCACCAGCGAC